GCCUUUUCCACCUCAGAUCCCCCUGUCCUACCCAUCCUAGCUUUAACUCAGCCAUAAUUGCCUUGCUUAAUCCCAGGAACCUGGCCACUGCUCCUUGGUCCUUGGCAUUAUGACGGGAUUCCCUUGUCACCUCUGACAGUUCCUGGCUGCGGUGUCCGCGGACUGGCUGGGGAGUGAUGACAGGUAGCUAUCAGAGCUCCAGCCUCCAGGCAGCUUUAGGGAUUAAAACGGAGGCCAAAGCAACUCCAGACCUGUUUUUAUAGCCAAAUACUGAGCCUCAGGGGUUGUACACUCAGGGGCUUCCAGGAAAAUGCCAGCCUUACUUUUCUGGGGUGCCUUUUAAUAACCUCCAAGCACUUUGUGGACUGUUUGUCGAGGGACGGUGAAUCAGAAGAAUCACUAUUCUGAUUUCCUUUGUCUCCGAAGAGGAAGUCCCUGACUAGCUAUAUAACUUUGGGCGAGUUACCUCUCACUUCUUUGUGCCCCAGUGUUCUCCUUGGGAAACUGGAUUUAGGUUAGAUGACCUUUUAAGGCUCCUUGUAUGAUAUUUUGUGAUCUGUACAUGGCAGAGUAUAGAUUAGGAGCCAAAUUUUCCAACCUAGUGCUAUGGUUCAGAAUACAUAGCACCCCAAGCGUCUGGCUGGAGCCGAGGAUGGGUCCUCCAGUUUUUGGCACAGAUGUUCCGGAGCCCAGGAAGCAUCCCAUAACCAACCUUCAGCCCCACCGCCACCCCCAGCGUAUUCCAGAGCCGCUUCCAAACCACAGCCUAUCCUCUGCUCCAUUUCACUCUUGUCCUCACAGACUUUCAGCCUCCAUGCUCUGAGACAACUGUGGAAGGGAUGGAAACCCUAUUUUCUUUUCUCCAAGACCAUGGUUGGUCUGCUUCCCUCACUCGGGCUCCUUGACAGUCUUCUAGAAGAGAGAAGGAGGAAAAGAAGCAGUUCCUGAUGUUACAAAUGAACAAGGAUCUCCCAGCCUUAGUCUUUGAGAAAAGAUGGCUGAAAGAGAGGAACUCUCCAAGUCAUUCCGCAAACAAAUGCCCAUUUAAACAUCAUCCUUGUCUUGUGAAGAAAACAGGAAGAAUGUCAUGUACCAUGUGGAUCACCUUCAGUUCAAAGUUGCAGCAAAGUGAAGAAAGAAACUACUGGAAGCCACCCAGCAAUGCACUGUUUAGUCAUCAAUUAGGAGCCCAUGGGAGGAUAAUAGGGAGACUGGGUGGAGGCUCAGUGUGUAAUAAUCUCUUGUCUAAUGUAUGUGUGUCACUGCCAUGUUGUAUGAACAAUAGUGAGGGCUCACAUUUACUUAACACUUGUGUGCGCAAAUCUGGGUUUUUCUUCCUUUCCAGAACUAUGACUCGAUCAUAAAAUCUGUUUUGUUUGCAUGCAUGCCCAAAACAACCCUGUAAGUAGAACAUUGUCAUUAUCUCUGUUUUAGAGAUGAGGAAACAGGCUCAGAGAAGCUCAGAAAUUUGUUCAAGAUCGCACAGCUAGUAAAUGGCAGAAGUAGGAUUGUGAACCCAGGGAAUCUCCAGAGCCUCUGUGUAACCAUGAUGUUAUAUUUUUUUUCCUCUUUAAAAACAAAAUUUAAAACCUUG
This 1594-nucleotide long non-coding RNA is filed under the name Homo sapiens (human). RNAcentral's name for it is "non-protein coding lnc-HOMEZ-1:6". Lineage: Eukaryota; Metazoa; Chordata; Mammalia; Primates; Hominidae. The record is from RNAcentral.